Molecule: unclassified non-coding RNA, 240 nt
Filed under: soil metagenome
Description: partial contains 5.8S ribosomal RNA, internal transcribed spacer 2, and large subunit ribosomal RNA
Source: RNAcentral
AACCUUAUGGACCUGCGGGCGUAUACCUGCGGAGGGAUCAUUACCGAGUGCGGGCCCUCUGGGUCCAACCUCCCACCCGUGUUUAUCGUACCUUGUUGCUUCGGCGGGCCCGCCGUUCUGGCCGCCGGGGGGCACCCGCCCCCGGGCCCGCGCCCGCCGAAGACACCCUCGAACUCUGUGCGAAGAUUGCAGUCUGAGUGGAAUCACAAAUUAGUUAAAACUUUUAGCAACGGAUCUCAG